GUUCGCUAGAUUUAGCUUUUCAGAAUGCGUCCUGCAGCGUUUUGGGACGCAAAUGUCCCAUGGCGUGGGACUCAUGAUCUGGAAUGCGGAACUCAGGUGAAGGUGACGAAUCUGAUAACUAUGGGCUGAUAAAUGAGGUUAAUUUGAUGCGAAUGAUGGAAGAUUAGUAGACAUGGAAACUAGAGUAGUAUUUUUAUGUUUGGAGGGUGCCUGGCAUGUAUCUGCCUGCCAUUGGCUAAUAUUUGCAUCAUUCUGUGUGGUUUUCCUAUAAUAGGACAAUCCUGGCUGCAGCAAGUGAGCACUUUUGCAUUUGAACUUUGUGUCAAUUACCUGGAUUAACUUUUUUAGUAUCGCAUUUAGUUGCAAGAAGUAAACAUGUGCCAUCACCACCUUUGAUUAUUUCCUUUGCUGUCUCACAUCUUUUUUACUUAUUCUGCAUGCCUGAUGCAAUGUCAUCUGUCUCAGCAAGUCUAAUUUAUGUUCUCUAAAAUAUUUCAGGCAAGAGUAUCAUGUGAAGUGU
RNAcentral lists this unclassified non-coding RNA (520 nucleotides) under Hevea brasiliensis (rubber tree). Lineage: Eukaryota; Viridiplantae; Streptophyta; Magnoliopsida; Malpighiales; Euphorbiaceae. The record is from RNAcentral.